GGAUAAAAGGUACUCCGGGGAUAACAGGCUGAUACCGCCCAAGAGUUCAUAUCGACGGCGGUGUUUGGCACCUCGAUGUCGGCUCAUCACAUCCUGGGGCUGAAGUAGGUCCCAAGGGUAUGGCUGUUCGCCAUUUAAAGUGGUACGCGAGCUGGGUUUAGAACGUCGUGAGACAGUUCGGUCCCUAUCUGCCGUGGGCGCUGGAGAACUGAGGGGGGCUGCUCCUAGUACGAGAGGACCGGAGUGGACGCAUCACUGGUGUUCGGGUUGUCAUGCCAAUGGCACUGCCCGGUAGCUAAAUGCGGAAGAGAUAAGUGCUGAAAGCAUCUAAGCACGAAACUUGCCCCGAGAUGAGUUCUCCCUGAGACUUUAGGUCUCCUGAAGGAACGUUGAAGACGACGACGUUGAUAGGCCGGGUGUGUAAGCGCAGCGAUGCGUUGAGCUAACCGGUACUAAUGAACCGUGAGGCUUAACCUUACAACGCCGAAG
This 489-nucleotide ribosomal RNA is filed under the name Salmonella enterica subsp. enterica serovar Derby. RNAcentral's name for it is "partial 23S ribosomal RNA". It matches the Rfam family "Bacterial large subunit ribosomal RNA", at positions 2454 to 2925 of the family's 2925-position model. The record is from RNAcentral. Lineage: Bacteria; Pseudomonadati; Pseudomonadota; Gammaproteobacteria; Enterobacterales; Enterobacteriaceae.